CCUAUUGUUAUAAGAAUAACAUGGAAAUAGCCCCCUGCAAAUUGGUAUAAACUUAACUCCGAAGGUUCAUCCAUUGAAAACCCCAAGUGUCGGUGGGGCUGGGUUCUUAUUAGAGAGGAUGAAGGAACUGGGUUACUGGUUGCUUCAGGCACUUCCCACACAUCACUUGCAUCAAAACAGCUUUGGGGCACGUAGAGAUGGUUUAAACCUUGCUGUUUCCCUUUACAUUAAAUCUUGUAGUGGAACUUGAUGCCAUGGCAGUCAGUAGCUUCGUUCAGCACAUGGUCAAGUAUGAGUAAGCUGAGGUUGUUAGGCUGUUGAUUAAGAAGUUAAUUAGUUGUUAGCUGGUUAAUAAUCAGUUGUACAGUUGUACUUCAACUAUAAAUACGUGUAUUGAUGCUAGUCAGGAAUAAGACUAAUACCAUUCUAUUUUCUCUAGUUUGUUUUCUUCUUCAGUUGCAUUUGUUCAUACCUUUUGAGUCUUUCAAGCAUGGUAUCAGAGCUGGUGUUCUCAGCAUAAUCAGACGAUCUUAAGCUGUGGAGUCAACAAUGGUUCAGCCUGGUGAAGUUUCAGAUUCGGUGAGUGCAGAUUCUUCAUGAC
This 601-nucleotide long non-coding RNA is filed under the name Gossypium barbadense (sea-island cotton). Its description in RNAcentral is "long non-coding RNA (GBAR_LNC000970)". Lineage: Eukaryota; Viridiplantae; Streptophyta; Magnoliopsida; Malvales; Malvaceae. The record is from RNAcentral.